UAACAAAAACAUGUCUUUUUGAAUUUAAAUAUAAAGUCUAAUCUGCCCACUGAUAAAUUAUUUAAUGGCCGCAGUAUUUUAACUGUGCAAAGGUAGCAUAAUAAUUAGUUUUUUAAUUGAAGACUUGUAUGAAUGAUUGGACGAGAUAUAAGCUGUCUCAUAAAAAUUUUUUAGAAUUUAAUUUUUUAGUUAAAAAGCUAAAAUAAAUUUAAAAGACGAGAAGACCCCGUAGAUCUUUAUAUUUUUAUUAUUAUCAUUUUUUAGUUUUUUUAUUAAAUCAAUAAUUAAAAAUAUUUUGUUGGGGUGACAUUGAAAUUUAAUAAACUUUCAACUUUUAGUAACAUUGAUUUAUGAAUUUAUGAUCCUUUAUUAUUGAUUAAAAUUUUAAGUUACCUCGGGGAUAACAGCGUAAUUAUUUUGGAGAGUUCAUAUCGAUAAAAUAGAUUGCGACCUCGAUGUUGGAUUAAGAUUAAUUUUGGGUGUAGCAGUUCAAUUUAUUAAGUCUGUUCGACUUUUAAUUUCUUACGUGAUCU
RNAcentral lists this ribosomal RNA (533 nucleotides) under Campsicnemus spinicoxa. Its description in RNAcentral is "partial 16S ribosomal RNA". It matches the Rfam family "Bacterial large subunit ribosomal RNA", at positions 1805 to 2606 of the family's 2925-position model. Lineage: Eukaryota; Metazoa; Arthropoda; Insecta; Diptera; Dolichopodidae. The record is from RNAcentral.